UCCGGUUUGUCACCGGCAGUCUCACUAGAGUGCCCGUUACCGUAGCAACUAGUGGCAAGGGUUGCGCUCGUUGCGGGACUUAACCCAACACCUCACGGCACGAGCUGACGACAGCCAUGCAGCAUCUGUGGCGGUUCUCGACUUUACGAGUCGUUCCCCUUUCGGGGUUCUACUUCCGUCAUGUCAAGCCUAGGUAAGGUUCUUCGCGUUGCUUCGAAUUAAACCACACGCUCCGCUGCUUGUGCGGGCCCCCGCCUAUUCCUUUGAGUUUUAACCUUGCGGCCGUAGUCCCCAGGCGGUGAACUUAAUGCGUUAGCUGCGGCACUGAUCGGGUCAAUCCGACCAACACCUAGUUCACAACGUUUAGGGCGUGGACUAC
RNAcentral lists this unclassified non-coding RNA (379 nucleotides) under uncultured Chloroflexota bacterium. RNAcentral describes it as "uncultured Chloroflexi bacterium contains 16S-23S intergenic spacer region". The record is from RNAcentral. Lineage: Bacteria; Bacillati; Chloroflexota.